CCGGCACGGGUGAGUAACACGUAUCCAACCUGCCGUCUACUCUUGGCCAGCCUUCUGAAAGGAAGAUUAAUCCAGGAUGGCAUCAUGAGUUCACAUGUCCGCAUGAUUAAAGGUAUUUUCCGGUAGACGAUGGGGAUGCGUUCCAUUAGCUAGUUGGCGGGGUUACGGCCCACCAAGGCAACGAUGGAUAGGGGUUCUGAGAGGAAGGUCCCCCACAUUGGAACUGAGACACGGUCCAA
RNAcentral lists this ribosomal RNA (239 nucleotides) under uncultured bacterium. Its description in RNAcentral is "partial 16S ribosomal RNA". It matches the Rfam family "Bacterial small subunit ribosomal RNA", at positions 100 to 334 of the family's 1533-position model. The record is from RNAcentral.